GAUGAACGCUAGCGGCAGGCUUAAUACAUGCAAGUCGAGGGGCAGCGCAGUGUAGCAAUACAUGGGCGGCGACCGGCAAACGGGUGCGGAACACGUACAGAACCUUCCUUCGAGCGGGGAAUAGCCCAGAGAAAUUUGGAUUAAUACCCCAUAGUAUAUUGAAAAGGCAUCUUUUUAAUAUUAAAGAUUUAUCACUUGAAGAUGGCUGUGCGGCUGAUUAGGUAGUUGGCGGGGUAACGGCCCACCAAGCCAUCGAUCAGUAACUGGUGUGAGAGCACGACCAGUCACACGGGCACUGAGACACGGGCCCGACUCCUACGGGAGGCAGCAGUAAGGAAUAUUGGUCAAUGGACGCAAGUCUGAACCAGCCAUGCCGCGU
RNAcentral lists this ribosomal RNA (379 nucleotides) under uncultured bacterium. Its description in RNAcentral is "bacterial SSU rRNA". It matches the Rfam family "Bacterial small subunit ribosomal RNA", at positions 28 to 402 of the family's 1533-position model. The record is from RNAcentral.